UGACCCUUUGAGGGUCCUGAAGGAACGUUGAAGACGACGACGUUGAUAGGCCGGGUGUGUAAGCGCAGCGAUGCGUUGAGCUAACCGGUACUAAUGAACCGUGAGGCUUAACCUUACAACGCCGAAGCUGUU
This 132-nucleotide ribosomal RNA is filed under the name Escherichia coli. RNAcentral describes it as "partial 23S ribosomal RNA". The stretch from base 1 to 115 matches the Rfam family "Bacterial large subunit ribosomal RNA", at positions 2806 to 2925 of the family's 2925-position model. Lineage: Bacteria; Pseudomonadati; Pseudomonadota; Gammaproteobacteria; Enterobacterales; Enterobacteriaceae. The record is from RNAcentral.